GCAGUCGACGAUAGAUCCCGGAUGCUGGUACUGGGGGAUUAGUGGCAAACGGGUGAGUACACGUGAGUAACCUGCCCCCGACUCUAGGAUAAGCCCGGGAGACUGGGUCUAAUACCGGAUAUUCACUUCCUUCCGCAUGGAAGGUGGUGGAAAUAUUUAUCGGUUGGGGAUGGACUCGCAGCCUAUCAGCUUGUUGGUGAGGUAAUGGCUCACCAAGGCGACGACCGGUAGCCGGCCUGAGAGGGUGACCGGUCACACUGGGACUGAGACACGGCCCAUACUCCUACGGGAGGCAGCAGUGGGGAAUAUUGCACAAUGGGCGAAAGCCUGAUGCAGCGACGCCUCGUGAGGGAUGACGGCCUUCGGGUUGUAAACCUCUUUCGAAGGGAAGAAGCGAAAGUGACGGUACCUGCAUAAAAAUCGCCGGCUAACUACGUGCCAGCAGCCGCGGUAAUACGUACGGCGCAAGCGUUAUCCGGAAUUAUUGUGCGUAAAGAGCUCGUACGCGGUUUGUCCCGUCUGCCUUCAAAGUCCUGGGCUCACCUCGGAUCUGUGGUGGGUACAGGCACACUAGAGUGAUGUAAGGUAGACUGGAAUUCAUGGUGUAGCAGUGAAAUGCGCAGAUAUCAAGAGGAACACCGAUGGCGAAAGCACGUCUCUGGACAUCUACUGACUCUGAUGAUCGAAACCUGGGGAGCGAACACGAUUAGAUCCCUGGUAUUCCAUGCCGUAAACGUUGGGCACUAGAUGUAUGGAACUUCCAC
This 764-nucleotide ribosomal RNA is filed under the name Arthrobacter rhombi. RNAcentral's name for it is "bacterial SSU rRNA". It matches the Rfam family "Bacterial small subunit ribosomal RNA", at positions 57 to 836 of the family's 1533-position model. Lineage: Bacteria; Bacillati; Actinomycetota; Actinomycetes; Micrococcales; Micrococcaceae. The record is from RNAcentral.